This 483-nucleotide ribosomal RNA is filed under the name uncultured bacterium. RNAcentral describes it as "partial 16S ribosomal RNA". It matches the Rfam family "Bacterial small subunit ribosomal RNA", at positions 30 to 506 of the family's 1533-position model. The record is from RNAcentral.
AUUGAACGCUGGCGGCAGGCCUAACACAUGCAAGUCGAGCGGAUGAAGCGAGCUUGCUCCUGGAUUCAGCGGCGGACGGGUGAGUAAUGCCUAGGAAUCUGCCUGGUAGUGGGGGAUAACGUCCGGAAACGGGCGCUAAUACCGCAUACGUCCUGCGGGAGAAAGUGGGGGAUCUUCGGACAUCACGCUAUCAGAUGAGCCUAGGUCGGAUUAGCUAGUUGGUGGGGUAAAGGCCUACCAAGGCGACGAUCCGUAACUGGUCUGAGGGGAUGAUCAGUCACACUGGAACUGAGACACGGUCCAGACUCUUACGGGAGGCAGCAGUGGGGAAGAUUGGACGAAGGGCGAAAGCCUGAUCCAGCCAUGCCGCGUGUGUGAAGAAGGUCUUCGGAUUGUAAAGCACUUUAAGUUGGGAGGAAGGGCAGUAAGUUAAUACCUGGCUGUUUUGACGUUACCAACAGAAUAAGCACCGGCUAACUUCGU